Oncorhynchus keta (chum salmon) is the source of this 1623-nucleotide long non-coding RNA. RefSeq lists it as uncharacterized. The record is from RefSeq and is a predicted model, not a curated record. NCBI's taxonomy places the organism in Eukaryota, Metazoa, Chordata, Actinopteri, Salmoniformes, Salmonidae. The transcript is spliced from 9 exons.
UACAGGACAGCAGGCAGGAUCAGAGUCAGGUCAGGUAGAGGUCGGUAAUCCAGAGUAGAGGCCAAGGUACAGGACAGCAGGCAGGAUCAGAGUCAGGUCAGGUAGAGGUCGGUAAUCCAGAGUAGAGGCCAAGGUACAGGACAGCAGGCAGGAUCAGAGUCAGGUCAGGUAGAGGUCGGUAAUCCAGAGUAGAGGCCAAGGUACAGGACAGCAGGCAGGAUCAGAGUCAGGUCAGGUAGAGGUCGGUAAUCCAGAGUAGAGGCCAAGGUACAGGACAGCAGGCAGGAUCAGAGUCAGGUCAGGUAGAGGUCGGUAAUCCAGAGUAGAGGCCAAGGUACAGGACAGCAGGCAGGAUCAGAGUCAGGUCAGGUAGAGGUCGGUAAUCCAGAGUAGAGGCCAAGGUACAGGACAGCAGGCAGGAUCAGAGUCAGGUCAGGUAGAGGUCGGUAAUCCAGAGUAGAGGCCAAGGUACAGGACAGCAGGCAGGAUCAGAGUCAGGUCAGGUAGAGGUCGGUAAUCCAGAGUAGAGGCCAAGGUACAGGACAGCAGGCAGGAUCAGAGUCAGGUCAGGUAGAGGUCGGUAAUCCAGAGUAGAGGCCAAGGUACAGGACAGCAGGCAGGAUCAGAGUCAGGUCAGGUAGAGGUCGGUAAUCCAGAGUAGAGGCCAAGGUACAGGACAGCAGGCAGGAUCAGAGUCAGGUCAGGUAGAGGUCGGUAAUCCAGAGUAGAGGCCAAGGUACAGGACAGCAGGCAGGAUCAGAGUCAGGUCAGGUAGAGGUCGGUAGUCCAGAGUAGAGGCCAAGGUACAGGACAGCAGGCAGGAUCAGAGUCAGGUCAGGUAGAGGUCGGUAAUCCAGAGUAGAGGCCAAGGUACAGGACAGCAGGCAGGAUCAGAGUCAGGUCAGGUAGAGGUCGGUAAUCCAGAGUAGAGGCCAAGGUACAGGACAGCAGGCAGGAUCAGAGUCAGGUCAGGUAGAGGUCGGUAAUCCAGAGUAGAGGCCAAGGUACAGGACAGCAGGCAGGAUCAGAGUCAGGUCAGGUAGAGGUCGGUAAUCCAGAGUAGAGGCCAAGGUACAGGACAGCAGGCAGGAUCAGAGUCAGGUCAGGUAGAGGUCGGUAAUCCAGAGUAGAGGCCAAGGUACAGGACAGCAGGCAGGAUCAGAGUCAGGUCAGGUAGAGGUCGGUAAUCCAGAGUAGAGGCCAAGGUACAGGACAGCAGGCAGGAUCAGAGUCAGGUCAGGUAGAGGUCGGUAAUCCAGAGUAGAGGCCAAGGUACAGGACAGCAGGCAGGAUCAGAGUCAGGUCAGGUAGAGGUCGGUAAUCCAGAGUAGAGGCCAAGGUACAGGACAGCAGGCAGGAUCAGAGUCAGGUCAGGUAGAGGUCGGUAAUCCAGAGUAGAGGCCAAGGUACAGGACAGCAGGCAGGAUCAGAGUCAGGUCAGGUAGAGGUCGGUAAUCCAGAGUAGAGGCCAAGGUACAGGACAGCAGGCAGGAUCAGAGUCAGGUCAGGUAGAGGUCGGUAAUCCAGAGUAGAGGCCAAGGUACAGGACGGCAGGCAGGAUCAGAGUCAGGUCAGGUAGAGGUCGGUAAUCCAGAGGUGAGACAAAAGUACAGGACGGCAGGC